UCUGGGUAGCUGGAACUACAGGCAUGUGUUACCACAUCCAUUCAAGGCUCAUGAGAAUUUAGUACUGCACAGGAAUUCUGGUCAGCCAACACAUAUUUGCAAACAUGCAUAGAGUUUAUAUUUUAAGUUAGUUGUUGACUUCUAGCAAUAGCAGCCCCCAAAUUGCCUACGUAAGAUAACUGGAAGGAAUUAUUUGCCCCAAAACAAUUUCUAGGUCCACACUGUUAUGCGAGGCGCAGCGAGAUACACACAUGGAAGCUCUAUGUGAUUUUUGGCUCUUAAGAAGUUAACAUGCUAAAGAGACAAAACUAACAUAUACAAAACACUUUGAUUACUGCAGUGAGUAUAGUAUGGAUUCAGAAUGGGGAAAGACUUCUGUGAGGUAAAGCAACUGGAAGAAGCCUGGGGAGGAGGUAGAUCUUGACCUGAACCUGGACCUUGAAGGAUAAGAUUUAAAUUUCAGUGAAGAGAACUGAAAAGAGCCCUCUAAUGGGGGGGCGGGGGGAGGGGAGCUUCACUGGGAAAUCAGGAAGCUAGGGAAGAAAAUAUGUGCAUGUUUCUGUGUGUAUUCAAAGGGGGCUUCCUGGUUUGUGAAUGACAGUAAGUAUUCAGAUCCAUACAUAGAUCAGUAGUAUGUUACAGUAGCAUGGAAGCCAUUUGGAACAUUUAGAUUGUAGUGUGAACUUUUGAACCACUGAGUGUUGUGGAUGAACAGAAUGAGACAGCAAAAGUGGUAUUUGUAAAACACU
This 749-nucleotide long non-coding RNA is filed under the name Pan troglodytes (chimpanzee). Its description in RNAcentral is "long non-coding RNA NONPTRT001611". Lineage: Eukaryota; Metazoa; Chordata; Mammalia; Primates; Hominidae. The record is from RNAcentral.